AUUGAACGCUGGCGGCAUGCUUUACACAUGCAAGUCGAACGGUAACAGGCCGCAAGGUGCUGACGAGUGGCGAACGGGUGAGUAAUGCAUCGGAACGUGCCCAGUCGUGGGGGAUAACGCAGCGAAAGCUGUGCUAAUACCGCAUACGAUCUAUGGAUGAAAGCGGGGGACCGAAAGGCCUCGCGCGAUUGGAGCGGCCGAUGUCAGAUUAGCUAGUUGGUGGGGUAAAGGCCCACCAAGGCGACGAUCUGUAGCUGGUCUGAGAGGACGACCAGCCACACUGGAACUGAGACACGGUCCAGACUCCUACGGGAGGCAGCAGUGGGGAAUUUUGGACAAUGGGCGCAAGCCUGAUCCAGCAAUGCCGCGUGCAGGAAGAAGGCCUUCGGGUUGUAAACUGCUUUUGUACGGAACGAAACGGUCUGGGUUAAUACCUCGGGCUAAUGACGGUACCGUAAGAAUAAGCACCGGCUAACUAC
RNAcentral lists this ribosomal RNA (479 nucleotides) under uncultured bacterium. RNAcentral describes it as "bacterial SSU rRNA". It matches the Rfam family "Bacterial small subunit ribosomal RNA", at positions 30 to 504 of the family's 1533-position model. The record is from RNAcentral.